RNAcentral lists this ribosomal RNA (503 nucleotides) under uncultured bacterium. RNAcentral describes it as "partial 16S ribosomal RNA". It matches the Rfam family "Bacterial small subunit ribosomal RNA", at positions 30 to 523 of the family's 1533-position model. The record is from RNAcentral.
AUUGAACGCUGGCGGCAGGCUUAACACAUGCAAGUCGAGCGGGGUGAUGGUGCUUGCACUAUCACUUAGCGGCGGACGGGUGAGUAAUGCUUAGGAAUCUGCCUAUUAGUGGGGGACAACAUCUCGAAAGGGAUGCUAAUACCGCAUACGUCCUACGGGAGAAAGCAGGGGAUCACUUGUGACCUUGCGCUAAUAGAUGAGCCUAAGUCGGAUUAGCUAGUUGGUGGGGUAAAGGCCUACCAAGGCGACGAUCUGUAGCGGGUCUGAGAGGAUGAUCCGCCACACUGGGACGGAGGAACGGCCCAGACUCCUACGGGAGGCAGCAGUGGGGAAGAUUGGACAAUGGGGGGAACCCUGAUCCAGCCAUGCCGCGUGUGUGAAGAAGGCCUUAUGGUUGUAAAGCACUUUAAGCGAGGAGGAGGCUCUUUUGGUUAAUACCCAAGAUGAGUGGACGUUACUCGCAGAAUAAGCACCGGCUAACUCUGUGCCAGCCGCCGCAGUAA